GCGACCUCAGGUCAAGUGAGAUUAUCUACUAAGUUUAAGAUUAUUAAUAAGUGGAUAAAAAGAAACAUAGAAGGAUUCCCCUAGUAAUGGCGAGCAAACCGAGAAUAGCCCAACUUGAAAAUCAUGCUACAUUACCAUUCAAAUUGUAGUCUAUAGAAACAUCCUUAAUGGUAGACCAGGCCCAAGUCCCUUGGAAGAGGUUCCCAGAGAGGUGAGUGCCCCAUGAUGCUUGACCAUGUCGCACCACGAGGCAUUGUCAGCGAGUCGUGUUGUUUGGGAAUGUAGACCUAAUCAGGCGGUAAAUUCCCCCAAGGCUAAAUACAGGUGAGAGACCGAUAGUAAAUAAGUACAGUGAGAGAAAGAUGAAAAGGACAUUAAAAAAAGAGUCAAAGAGUGCUUGAAAUUAUCAGGAGGUAAAUGGAUGGGGGCUUGUGAUGCACCUCGAUUAGAUGUGGAAUGGUGAUAGCCGGUCUGUCGAUUAACUUGGGUCGCAGACCUGUGUGGAUUGCACUAUCGUAAAUCCCAUGGAGAUGCCUUUACCUCGAUUGUGGCUUGCAGUGCAUGCCUCUGGCCUUCUCCAGCAUCUGCGUUCUCUCGGCACCGGUUAGUAAGCUCCCCAUUCGAUCUAUCUUGAAACAUAGAUAGAGAGACUAAAAUGUGUAUGAGUCAGUGAGUGAGUAAACCUGAAAGGUGAAAGGAAGUUGAUUGGCAAGAUCCCCUAGGUUAUGCCACCAAUCAACCUUGAUCUUCAGAGAAGGGUUCGAGUGUGAGCAUGCCUGUCAAGCCUUGAAAGAUGUUGAACUAUUCCUGACUGGGGCAAAGCCAAAGGAAAAUCUUGUGGAGGCCCGCAGUGAUACUGACAUGAGAAUCAUUCAUCUAACUUGUGUAUGGGGGCUAAAGACUAAUCGAACCGUCUAGUAGCUACUUCCCUCAGAAGUUUCCCUUAAGAUAACUGGAGCUCAGGAGCGAGUUCAUCGGGUAAAGCCAAUGAUUAGAGGCAGCAAAGGCACAAUGCCCUCCCUAUUCUCAAAUGUUAACAGGUAGGAUGGCGUGGCUACUCUGAUGAGCCAUGCCACAGAAUCGGGAGCUCUAAUUGGGCCAUUUUUGGUAAGUAGAACUACCGAUACAAGAUGAAUAGAAAGUUAGGUUACGGUGUCCAACUAUGCACUAACCUAGAACCCACAAAGGGUAUUGGUCAAUUAAGAUAGCAAGAUGGUGCUCAUGGAAGUUGAAAUCCACUAAAGAGUACAUAAGAACUCACUUGCCAAAUCAACUAGCCCUGAAAAUGGAUGACGCUGAAGCACGCGGCCUAUACCUGGCCAUCAGGGCUAGUGCCGGGCCCCGAUGAGUAGGAGGGUGUAACGGUCACUACAAAACCUUGGGCAUGAGCUCAGGUAAAGUGGCCAUUGAUACGGAUCAUGAUGGUAGUAGCAAAUAUUGAAAUGAGAACUUUGAAGGCCAAAGAGGGGAAAGUUUAUAUGUGAACGGAACUUACACAUCGGUUAGUCGAUCCUAAGAGUCGAGGAAAGCCAGACAGAGAGUGCGUCUAGUGCGAAUAUCGAAAAGGAAUCGAGUUAAAGUUCAUGAACUAGGAUGUGGUGGCUAACAGCAACUUUAGGGAGUCUGAAGAUGUCAGCAAGGGCCUUGGGAAGAGUUAUCUUUUAUGUUUAAUAGCCUAUCUACCCUAGAAAUGGCUUAGCCAGAGGUAGGGUCUAGCUGUUGGAAGAGCACCGCACGUCACAUGGUGUCCGGUGCACCCCGGUGGGCCUUGAAGAUCCAAAGGAUAGAGUGCCUCCCAUACCUGAUCGUACUCAUAACCACAAUAGUUCUCCAUGGUGAAUAACCUCUGGUCGAUGGAACAAUGUAGGCAAAAGAAAUUGGAAAAAUAGAUCUGUAACUUUGGGGAAAGGAUUGGCUUUGAGGGUCGGUUACGAGGUUCCCAGUCCCAAACCCAUCGGUUACCUGUGGACUACUGAAGUUGCUCCCACGGUGAGAGCGGGUCACCGCGUGUCGAUCGGGGGAUAAAAUGGGAACGGCUCCUCACUGGGCCAUUUUUAUCCAUCGAACAAUCGACUCAGAAUAGGUACAGAUAAGGGGAAUCUGACUAGUUAAUUAAAACAAAGCGUUGAGAUGGUCCCUUCGGAUGCUCACACGAUGUGGUUUAUGCCCAAUGCAUUGAAUGCCAAAGUGAAGAAAUUCAACCAAAUGCAAGUAAAUGGCAGGAGUAACUAUGACUCUCUUAAGGUAACCAAAUGCCUCGUCCUCUAGUGAUGCACAUGAAACCACAGCUAUGACUAUCCAAUGAAACAACAGCUAAGGGAACGGGCUUGGCUAAAUCAACGGGGAAAAAAACCCUAUUCAGCUUGACUCUAGUUCAACUUUGUGAAAUGAAUUGAGAGGUAUAGGAUAAGUGGGAGCCAGAAAUGGCGAAGGUGAAAUACCACUACUUUCAAUAUUAUUUUACUUAUUUUGUGAAUCAGAAACGGGGCACUGCCCCUAUUUUUUGACCAAAGACUUGCCUCGGAGGGCCUAUCCGAGUAGAAGACAUUGUCAAAUGGGGAGUUUGGCUGGGGUAGCACAUCUGUUAAUAGAUAAUGCAAGUAUCCUAAGAUAAGCUUAACGAGAGUAGAAAUCUCAUGAGGAAUAGAAGGGCAAAAGUGUGGCCUAACGAUCCUUUAGACCAUCAGAAUUUGGAGCUGGAGGUGUCAAAAAAGUUCCACAGGGAUAAUUAGCUUGUGGCGGCAGGCAUUCAUAGCGAUAUUAUUUUUUGAUCCUUCAAUAUCAACUUUUCUUAUCAUUGUGAAGCAAAAUUCCCCAAGUGUUGGAUUGUUCACCCACCGAUAGGGAACGUGAGUCGGGUUUAGAUCGUCAUGACAUAGGUUAGUUUUACCCUACAGAUGACAGUGUCGUAAUAGUAAUUCAACCUAGCAAGAGGAACCGUUGAUUCGCAUAAUUGGUCAUCGAGCUUGGUUUAAAAGCUAAUGGCUCAAAGUUACCGUGCGCUCAAUUAUGACUGAACACCUCUUAGUCAGAGUCUAAGCUAGAAGAAAUGCAUAUGCCCGCCGAUCAUUUACGCACUAGUAGUAUGUGCCAUUCAACCCCCAAAAGGCAUGUGUCAUAGAUGAAACCUACGCGACAAACAAGUUGUGCAGGCCGCCUUAAAGUACAAGUCCUAUCAAGCAGC
This is a ribosomal RNA of 3184 nucleotides. It matches the Rfam family "Eukaryotic large subunit ribosomal RNA".